UCCCCGUUACCGGGGCAGUCUGAAUAGAAAAAUCCAACUAUUCAUAAGGGUUGCGCUCGUUAAUGGACUUAACCAAACAUCUCACGACACGAGCUGACGACGGCCAUGCAGCACCUGUCACCAAGUUCAAUAAAGCACUCUCAUCUUUCGACAAAAUUCUUGGGAUGUCAAACCCUGGUAAGGUUCUUCGCUUAUCGUCGAAUUAAAGAACAUCCUCCACCGCUUGUGCGGGUCCCCGUCAAUUCCUUUAUGUUUUAGUCUUGCGACCGUACUCCACAGGCGGGAUACUUAACGCGUUAGCUUCGUUACUGAGGGGGUCGAUACCCCCAACAACUAGUAUCCAUCGUUUACGGCGUGGACUAC
RNAcentral lists this unclassified non-coding RNA (363 nucleotides) under uncultured bacterium. RNAcentral describes it as "contains 16S-23S intergenic spacer region". The record is from RNAcentral.